This 89-nucleotide transfer RNA is filed under the name Desulfonatronum thiosulfatophilum. RNAcentral describes it as "tRNA_Leu_TAA". It matches the Rfam family "tRNA". Rfam says of the family: Transfer RNA (tRNA) molecules are approximately 80 nucleotides in length. Their secondary structure includes four short double-helical elements and three loops (D, anti-codon, and T loops). The record is from RNAcentral. Lineage: Bacteria; Pseudomonadati; Thermodesulfobacteriota; Desulfovibrionia; Desulfovibrionales; Desulfonatronaceae.
GCCCGGGUGGUGGAACUGGUAGACACAAGGGACUUAAAAUCCCUCGCUCAGAGAUGGGCGUGCCGGUUCGAUUCCGGCCCCGGGCACCA